AUUGAACGCUGGCGGCAGGCCUAACACAUGCAAGUCGAACGGUAACAGGAAACAGCUUGCUGUUUCGCUGACGAGUGGCGGACGGGUGAGUAAUGUCUGGGAAACUGCCUGAUGGAGGGGGAUAACUACUGGAAACGGUAGCUAAUACCGCAUAACGUCGCAAGACCAAAGAGGGGGACCUUCGGGCCUCUUGCCAUCGGAUGUGCCCAGAUGGGAUUAGCUAGUAGGUGGGGUAACGGCUCACCUAGGCGACGAUCCCUAGCUGGUCUGGGAGGAUGACCAGCCACACUGGAACUGAGACACGGCCCAGACUCCUACGGGGGGCAGCAGUGGGGAAUAUUGCACAAUGGGCGCAAGCCUGAUGCAGCCAUGCCGCGUGUAUGAAGAAGGCCUUCGGGUUGUAAAGUACUUUCAGCGGGGAGGAAGGGAGUAAAGUUAAUACCUUUGCUCAUUGACGUUACCCGCAGAAGAAGCACCGGCUAACUCCGUGCCAGCCGCCGCAGUAA
Molecule: ribosomal RNA, 506 nt
Filed under: uncultured bacterium
Lineage: Bacteria
Description: partial 16S ribosomal RNA
Rfam family: Bacterial small subunit ribosomal RNA
Source: RNAcentral